RNAcentral lists this ribosomal RNA (133 nucleotides) under uncultured bacterium. Its description in RNAcentral is "partial 16S ribosomal RNA". The record is from RNAcentral.
AGUUAAGUCAAACAUAUACGCUAUUAACAUAUAUGCAUUUAAUCCUUCCUGACAGAGGUUUACAAUCACGAGAACCUUCAUCCCUCACGCGGCGUCGCUGCGUCAGGCUUUCGCCCAUUGCGCAAAAUUCCCC